Molecule: ribosomal RNA, 234 nt
Filed under: uncultured bacterium
Lineage: Bacteria
Description: partial 16S ribosomal RNA
Rfam family: Bacterial small subunit ribosomal RNA
Source: RNAcentral
GAUCCUGGCUCAGGAUGAACGCUAGCUACAGGCUUAACACAUGCAAGUCGAGGGGAAACGAUAUUGGUAGCUUGCUUCCGAUAGGCGUCGACCGGCGCACGAGUGAGUAACGCGUAUCCAACCUGCCCAUCACUUGGGAAUAACCUUGCGAAAGUAAGACUAAUGCCCAACUGACAUUUAUAGAAGGCAUCUGAAAUAGAAUUAAAGAUUAUCGGUGAUGGAUGGGGAGUGCGU